GUCCCUUUAGGACAUCCAACAAAAUUAGAACGAUAUAGAAAAAAUUAACAUGGCUCCUAUACAAGAAUGACACCCAUAAAUGAAGAAAUGGUCAAAAUUAUG
Small nuclear RNA from Prosopis cineraria, 102 nucleotides. The record is from RefSeq and is a predicted model, not a curated record. NCBI's taxonomy places the organism in Eukaryota, Viridiplantae, Streptophyta, Magnoliopsida, Fabales, Fabaceae.